AAUAGAGACAGGCAGCUUAAGAGAAACUCCAACCACGCAAACAGAGUUCUGGGAGAUCUGUAGAGAAGACAACAGGCGGGUUAGAAGUCUAGUGGUCUAGUGUGACUAUAUAAAGAGGAAACCCCCGUAUACCGCUGGUUUCUGAAUAUCGAUAAAAUGGAGAACUAAAGUCACUGGAUGCGAAAGUUUGUAUACCCCUAAUAAAAACAUAAAAAGUGGACACCGUGAAUCUCUGCGUUGUAAAGUGUGAACAGUGUUAUCUCACUUGAGUCUUUUAUGGAGGGAGGACAUAUAAAUAGAGCCUACAGUAUAUGCGAUGGCCGUUCUCCC
Hyla sarda is the source of this 330-nucleotide long non-coding RNA. RefSeq lists it as uncharacterized. The record is from RefSeq and is a predicted model, not a curated record. The transcript has 3 exons. Lineage: Eukaryota; Metazoa; Chordata; Amphibia; Anura; Hylidae.